UAGUCCACGCCGUAAACGAUGGUCACUAGCUGUAUGGACUUUAUGUCUGUGUGGCUAAGCGAAAGUGAUAAGUGACCCACCUGGGGAGUACGUUCGCAAGAAUGAAACUCAAAGGAAUUGACGGGGGCCCGCACAAGCGGUGGAGCAUGUGGUUUAAUUCGAUGAUACGCGAGGAACCUUACCAGGGCUUAAAUGUAAGUUGCAUAAGCUAGAGAUAGCUUUUUCUUCGGACCACUUACAAGGUGCUGCAUGGUUGUCGUCAGCUCGUGCCGUGAGGUGUCAGGUUAAGUCCUAUAACGAGCGCAACCCCUGUUGUUAGUUGCCAGCGAGUCAAGUCGGGAACUCUAACAAGACUGCCAGUGCAAACUGUGAGGAAGGUGGGAUGACGUCAAAUCAUCACGGCCCUUACGUCCUGGGCUACACACGUGCUACAAUGGUAAGUACAAUGAGCAGCCACUGCGUGAGCAGGAGCGAAUCUAUAAAACUUAUCACAGUUC
This 497-nucleotide ribosomal RNA is filed under the name uncultured bacterium. RNAcentral's name for it is "bacterial SSU rRNA". It matches the Rfam family "Bacterial small subunit ribosomal RNA", at positions 791 to 1294 of the family's 1533-position model. The record is from RNAcentral.